RNAcentral lists this unclassified non-coding RNA (269 nucleotides) under Hevea brasiliensis (rubber tree). The record is from RNAcentral. Lineage: Eukaryota; Viridiplantae; Streptophyta; Magnoliopsida; Malpighiales; Euphorbiaceae.
AGUUACAACAUGAAAGCAUAUAUAUAGACAGAAUACCAAUAAGAACAAUGCAAGUCCAGAAUAAUAUAUGUAGUAUUAUUGCCUGAGCCAUAUUUGAUAUUCUGGUCCUUUAUCGACAAACUUUUGCCAGGUACCAUCCAAAUGAACUUCUUUGGAAGGAUUCCAGUCCAAAUGACCAAGUUUCAUCACAAGAGUAUCUCCAAUCUGUGCAACGUAACCAUCACCGUUUGCAUGAUAUAUCUUUAACGGGCUACGACAAUGGAUUCCAG